Non-coding RNA from Xyrichtys novacula (pearly razorfish), 1088 nucleotides. Lineage: Eukaryota; Metazoa; Chordata; Actinopteri; Labriformes; Labridae. The record is from the annotation of a GenBank genome assembly.
CCUGGUCACCGUACCUGAUCGCCUCGCUGCCGGAUUGUGCUGUGUGCUCAGCUCGCUGCUCCUGGUAUGUUAAUCACAUACUUUAUUGUAUCGCUUUAAAAGUUUUGCGGUUGCCGUCAGGGUUGGCUUUUGUCUCCAACAGUUCCUCACUGGGUCUUCUCUCUCCUGCAUUGAACCGAUUGCGGGACCCAGAGUGUGUGUUCCCGCAUCCCCACACAGCUGGGGGUGAUCAGCUGAGUGGCCUCUGAUUGUUCUGUGGCGCUGCGGGUGCCUCGUUCCCUCGCCCUCGUGAGGUUCAUUCAACUUUCUGAUGGUAUGUGUUUAAAUGACUGCAACUCAAGCUAUCAUUAUUAAGCCGUGGUGCUAAAUUAUAGUUUUCUCACAUUAGGUUUUGUGUGUGUGAGCCGAUCGGGCUGCCCUAAACUCUCCUCCCUCCUCUCGGGCCGCUAUCGGCUGUGCUGCUGUUUUGCUUCUGUGCUGCUGGUCUGCUUCUAUGCUGCUCGAUGUGGUUGUUUCCACUACCACUGCUGCCUGCUCUACUGUACUCCUGUCUCAUCGCCUUUGGUAAGGCUGUCACUAUCGCCAUCUAACUUUGAUUCGAUGGCGCUCUGCUUCAUGUGAGGUGACGCCAACACCCUUGGGACUAAGUUUUUUUUUUUGGUAACCUGUUGCCUCAGCUUCCUCAUUUUGUUGGCAUUUAGUCUAUUAUGGUUUAAAUCAUUUGUUAUUAUUUUGUGAUUUGAGUGUUUUGUGUUUUUGUUUCUCCAGUUUGAGUACUUUGUUUUGUUAGUUACUAGUGUUUGAUUUAUUUGCAUGUUUGUUUGGUUUGGUCAUUUCUAAAUAUUUUGAGUUAUUUUUCUUUUUUUUGCUUGCUAGUUUUCCUUUUUUGGUAUUUGUGAUUUAUUUCUGAUUUAACCAGAAUUUGCUAUUUGCACAUCAAUUUUAUAGGCAACAUUGCUGUUUUAGUUAAGAGAAGUGUGUGUGUUUGUGUGUGAAUGAGUGUGGAUGAAUGGGUAAAAAAUAUUUUAUUAAUCUUGUUUAUUGAUGAAAAUUGUCAAAUAAAAUUCAAAAGUAUUUGUGCACUGGAC